GAGAGUUUGAUCCUGGCUCAGAAUGAACGCUGGCGGCAGGCCUAACACAUGCAAGUCGGACGGAGUUAUAUUGUAGCUUGCUAUGGUAUAACUUAGUGGCAGACGGGUGAGUAAUGUAUAGGAAUCUACCUAGUAGUACGGAAUAAUUGUUGGAAACGGCAACUAAUACCGUAUACGCCCUACGGGGGAAAAAUUUAUUGCUAUUAGACGAGCCUAUAUUAGAUUAGCUAGUUGGUGGAGUAAUAGCCUACCAAGGCAAUGAUCUAUAGCUGAUCUGAGAGGAUGAUCAGCCACACUGGAACUGAGAUACGGUCCAGACUCCUACGGGAGGCAGCAGUGGGGAAUAUUGGACAAUGGGCGAAAGCCUGAUCCAGCCAUGCCGCAUGAGUGAAGAAGGCCUUUGGGUUGUAAAGCUCUUUUAGUGAGGAAGAUAAUGACGGUACUCACAGAAGAAGUCCUGGCUAACUCCGUGCCAGC
Molecule: ribosomal RNA, 477 nt
Filed under: Wolbachia endosymbiont of Aedes aegypti
Lineage: Bacteria; Pseudomonadati; Pseudomonadota; Alphaproteobacteria; Rickettsiales; Anaplasmataceae
Description: bacterial SSU rRNA
Rfam family: Bacterial small subunit ribosomal RNA
Source: RNAcentral